This is a long non-coding RNA of Pseudoliparis swirei, 489 nucleotides long. RefSeq lists it as uncharacterized. Lineage: Eukaryota; Metazoa; Chordata; Actinopteri; Perciformes; Liparidae. The transcript is spliced from 4 exons. The record is from RefSeq and is a predicted model, not a curated record.
UGCCCGAGCGCAUAUUCAAACCCACUUGAUUCAAACCCACUUGGUUCAACAUUUUCAAAGGUGUGUUAUGGUUGAAAGAAAUCAAGGCAAUCAAGACUGUCUUUCCACAUGCAUCUGUGUUGCUUUGCUGGUUUCAUGUACUUCAGGCAAUCCACCGUUGGGUUGUUAAACAAGAUGGAGGCCAUGUCCAAGAUCCAGCUGUGAGAAACAUCAUCGUUCAAGGAAUAUUUUCUCUAAAGCAAUGUCGCACAGAGAGAGUAUUCCAUGAAACUGCUAAGAGAGUCCUUGAACAAAUCAAGACAGCAACAGGGGCGACCAGAGUGUCAAAAUACCUCAGAGAGACCUGGCUGCAGUGUGGGGCUAUGUGGGCCAACUUUGGCCGAAUGUUUUUCCACCACCAAAGUGAGACCAACAAUGUUGUGGAGAGGUGAGGAAACUUCACUUUUGAAAAGUUAUAGAUUCAUGAGUGAAAUUAUUACUUAUGGAUAU